AGGGGCGUCGCUUAGAUUCUAGAGCGCUCGCUUAGCAAGCGAAAGGUACGGGGAUCGAUACCCCGCACCUCCA
Non-coding RNA from Trichonephila clavipes, 73 nucleotides. The record is from the annotation of a GenBank genome assembly. NCBI's taxonomy places the organism in Eukaryota, Metazoa, Arthropoda, Arachnida, Araneae, Nephilidae.